RNAcentral lists this ribosomal RNA (232 nucleotides) under uncultured bacterium. RNAcentral's name for it is "partial 16S ribosomal RNA". It matches the Rfam family "Bacterial small subunit ribosomal RNA", at positions 15 to 235 of the family's 1533-position model. The record is from RNAcentral.
GAUCCUGGCUCAGGAUGAACGCUAGCUACAGGCUUAACACAUGCAAGUCGAGGGGGCGAGCGGGGAUUGAAGCUUGCUUCAAUUGCCGGCGACCGGCGCACGGGUGAGUAACGCGUAUCCAACCUUCCGUACACUCAGGGAUAGCCUUUCGAAAGAAAGAUUAAUACCUGAUGGUAUGAUGAGAUUGCAUGAUAGCAUCAUUAAAGAUUUAUCGGUGUACGAUGGGGAUGCG